UGGGGGCUGUGGUCAGUCCCUAAUGCCCUAGGUCUCCACUGCUCCUUCAGGGUCCCGCUCUGCCCCUGCUCCCUGUGGGGUCCCUCCCAUGGGAUGCCGUCCUUCUCAAACUGAGCCUGCGGGGGCUGCCCACGGGCAACAGCUCUUCAAGAACUGCUCCCACACGGCUCCGUACCAUGGGGUCCAUCCCCCAGGAGCAAACUGCUCCAGCACAGGUCCCCCACGGGUGGGCAGCAGCUCCCCCUAGACUGCCUGCUCCUGCAUGGGCUCCUCUCCACGGGCUGCAGCCUCCUCCAGGCCACAUCCACCUGCUCCUCCACGGGGUGGGGGGGCUGCAGCAUGGAGAUCUGCUCCAUGUGGGACCCAUGGGCUGCUCCACCAGGGGCCUCUCCACAGGCUGCAGGGGAACUGCUGCUGCAUGCCUGGAGCACGUCCUGCCCUCCUGCUGCACUCACCUUGGGAGCUUCAGGGCUGGUUCUCACUGAAGCCAACUGCAUUGAACUGUGAUUUGCACUGUGUACUCUUGAGACAAUAUGAUAUUCUCUUGGAGAGUGGUUCUUCUUUGGCUAGUAGAGGGAAACCUGGAUGACUAUAUGUGCUGACUGGCCAGCUACCUUCUGCCACAGUAGAGAAGAGCAAGUGUGCAAGGCUACAGGUGAGGUACCCAGGAACUACUCUACUAAAUAGAUUUUUUCUAAGAAUCCUUCAAGUCUGCCAUCCAGGUAAGAACAGCCAAAAAUCACAUAGGAGACCUAACAGUUAAUUUUUCUUUAGCUGUCUCUAGGGAUAUCAUUCUCUGAUUUUCUUCGGUUCCUGAAGGAUAAUUUGGCUGCCUGUGCAAGCUUGAUUUGAGUGUGAUUCCACAGCUGCAGAAGCCCAUUGAUAUGUGGUGGUGAGCAAAUCACUGCAUUUUUUUCAGGGCUCAGCUGUUUAAAAUAUACUGAAUGCAAAAUCACUGGUAAGUUACAAUGUGUUUAAAUUACUCUAAUUAAAGCUUCUGUAGUAUGGCACAGUUCAUGAUAUUUCAUUGCAAAUUAUAGCUCAUGUACCUACCAUGGCAAGCAGGCGUUAUCCCUUAUCUCUUUAUUCAAAAACUAGGAAGAAUGGGAAGAAACAAACUUUUCAAGCUAAAUUGCAGACUUAGUAACUGAAGUCCUUUCAAAAACUUUUGAGCACCUCUACAGUGAGACAAACAGUUAAAUUAUGGGUCUGAACUGCUUCAUCUGAUGGUGGGAGAAAAAGAAAUCCCUCCUAAGGAAGGCUUUGGUCUGUUUCUAUUUUUAACAGGUCGGCUAUACCAUAUAAAAAGGAGCAUUGAAAGUCAUUCAUCAAGCUGUGUAUCAUAUUGUGAAGAUUGCAACACUUCCCGCUGCAGACAGGAACAAGUCAAACUCAUUGUAGAUGUUGAAGUGGUGGGGAUGAAUGUUUGAGAAGGGUUGGUUUGUAGCUAUCACAUAAAAGUGAAGACUAACAGAGAGAAGCUUAGAAAAUAUUUCCCUGGCUAUCUUAAAGUAGAUGUUACAGAGUUUCUGCAGUGCCAUUUUUAUAUUUCUUGCUGAAGCUUGAAUUGUGUUUUCUGUCUCAGCAUA
Molecule: long non-coding RNA, 1589 nt
Filed under: Anas platyrhynchos platyrhynchos (common mallard)
Lineage: Eukaryota; Metazoa; Chordata; Aves; Anseriformes; Anatidae
Description: lncRNA (ENSAPLG00000024089.1)
Source: RNAcentral